CUUACACAUGCAAGUCGAACGGUAACAGGAAGCAGCUUGCUGCUUCGCUGACGAGUGGCGGACGGGUGAGUAAUGUCUGGGAAACUGCCUGAUGGAGGGGGAUAACUACUGGAAACGGUAGCUAAUACCGCAUAACGUCGCAAGACCAAAGAGGGGGACCUUCGGGCCUCUUGCCAUCGGAUGUGCCCAGAUGGGAUUAGCUAGUAGGUGGGGUAACGGCUCACCUAGGCGACGAUCCCUAGCUGGUCUGAGAGGAUGACCAGCCACACUGGAACUGAGACACGGUCCAGACUCCUACGGGAGGCAGCAGUGGGGAAUAUUGCACAAUGGGCGCAAGCCUGAUGCAGCCAUGCCGCGUGUAUGAAGAAGGCCUUCGGGUUGUAAAGUACUUUCAGCGGGGAGGAAGGCGAUAAGGUUAAUAACCUUGUCGAUUGACGUUACCCGCAGAAGAAGCACCGGCUAACUCCGUGCCAGCAGCCGCGGUAAUACGGAGGGUGCAAGCGUUAAUCGGAAUUACUGGGCGUAAAGCGCACGCAGGCGGUCUGUCAAGUCGGAUGUGAAAUCCCCGGGCUCAACCUGGGAACUGCAUUCGAAACUGGCAGGCUAGAGUCUUGUAGAGGGGGGUAGAAUUCCAGGUGUAGCGGUGAAAUGCGUAGAGAUCUGGAGGAAUACCGGUGGCGAAGGCGGCCCCCUGGACAAAGACUGACGCUCAGGUGCGAAAG
RNAcentral lists this ribosomal RNA (722 nucleotides) under Enterobacter hormaechei. RNAcentral's name for it is "bacterial SSU rRNA". It matches the Rfam family "Bacterial small subunit ribosomal RNA", at positions 48 to 759 of the family's 1533-position model. The record is from RNAcentral. Lineage: Bacteria; Pseudomonadati; Pseudomonadota; Gammaproteobacteria; Enterobacterales; Enterobacteriaceae.